RNAcentral lists this long non-coding RNA (233 nucleotides) under Lathyrus oleraceus (garden pea). RNAcentral's name for it is "Pisum sativum (pea) long non-coding RNA (PSAT_LNC023258)". The record is from RNAcentral. Lineage: Eukaryota; Viridiplantae; Streptophyta; Magnoliopsida; Fabales; Fabaceae.
AACAAGACACCUCAUUUGCCUUCGCGGAAUCCUACGGGGAUAUAUCGAUCACUUAGUACAUGCCAAAACAUGAUGGGGGAGGCGAGAAAAAGAAAGAAAAAUGAAAAAAAAAAGGAAAAAAAAAGAAAAUAAAAGAGAAAGACAAUAAAAAUCAUCAAUCAUAUUGCAUUAGCAUAUUGCAUACGCCAUGCAUAUCAAACCCCUCAUAAAGAUCCAUCUACCAAAUAACAUUC